RNAcentral lists this ribosomal RNA (426 nucleotides) under uncultured bacterium. RNAcentral describes it as "bacterial SSU rRNA". It matches the Rfam family "Bacterial small subunit ribosomal RNA", at positions 917 to 1359 of the family's 1533-position model. The record is from RNAcentral.
GGACCCGCACAAGCGGUGGAGCGUGAUCUUUAAUUCGAUGGUAAACGAUAAACCUUACCAAGGCUUGACAUCUCGGGAAGGGCUUCCGAAAGGAAACUGUGCCCUUGGGAACCCGAAGACAGGUGAUGCAUGGCCGUCGUCAGCUCGUGUCGUGAGAUGUUAGGUUAAGUCCUUCAACGAGCGCAACCCUUGUCUUCAGUUGUAUUUUCUGAAGAUACUGCCCCGGUAACGGGAGGAAGGAGGGAUGAUGUCAGGUCAGUAUUUCCCUUACGCCUUGGGCUAGAAUCGCGCUACAAUGGUCAGUACAAUGCGAAGCGAAGCAGUAAUGUGAAGCAAAUCGCAUCAAAGCUGGUCCCAGUUCGGAUAGAGGGCUGAAACUCGCCCUCUUGAAGUCGGAAUCGCUAGUAAUCGCAGAUCAGCAUGUUG